GAACCGGUAUACGGGCGAGAAAAAAAAAAGAAAACAGCCCAGCCAGCCGCAUGACCCUGCCUCACCGCGCGCCGCCGGCCACCCCCCGCCUCACCGUGCGCCGCCGGCCACCCCCCGCCGUUGAGCACCGCCACCGGCUUCCCUCCUCCCAUCAGGAUCCCCGAGCGCCCGACCCGGCCGUCGUUCGUCGCCAGCACCUGCGGAUCCGGCCGCCCUUCGCCUUCCCCGUCGGCUGCACCUCGCAGCGCCGCCGCCCCUGCCAAGCUCCGCCGCUUGGAUCCACAUCCCCAUGGCCGGAACGGGUCCUUCUCGAGGAACCGCACAUCCUCUGCCUGCUCCAACUGCACACGUCCUCUGCUAGGUUGACUCCCGCCGCCUACGACGAUCGCUGCCAUCAGAUCUGCUCCAAUUUGAGCCCCUCGCCCCACUUCCCCGAUCCAGUGGGAUUUCCAUGAGUGUCGUGCAGCAAAUCGGGAAGCAGCAGGGCCCGUCUGGCUGGUGCUCCAGUGAUGAAUUUUGUUGAACUAGGUAAAGCUUUAGAUGUCACACAUGCUCUGAACUUUACUGCACAAGCAUUCGACAGCAUGGUUCUAUUAGUGACCGAGGGAUUUGGAGGUACAGGUACUGAAGGGUAAUGGAUUUGAAGGUUGCUAUAUCUUGAGUUGUCCCAUUGUCUUACUAAAUUCAGGAUUCAACUCAGGAGAGUGUACAGAAUAUGCAGGUUUGUAUUGUUUCCGGUGUAAGUUGGUCAUGCAUCGGAUGUCACUCAGUUUCUAGGAAAUUCAAGAUGGCAUCAAAGAAACAGACAAAUACAGAGAUAAAACUUAAACAAGAGAGAUGUAUGAGGAUGUCGGCGUCUCAUCAAACAUGUGUUGUGUGAGGACACCCUUCGUCCGACCUAAUCUUGACGAUCAUCCGCAGGUACACACAUACAUGUUCUUCCCUGCUGCCUCUUGGUUUAGUUCACAUGCCUUGAAUUACUUUGAUCCUUUUGGUAACAUCAAACUGGGUUGCAUAGAAGUAACUGCUAACUGGGUUUGACCUUUGUGAGGAAUCUACAUCAGCACUUCAAAACUUCCAGGCUGUUUUCAUCGGCAAGCUUACAGCUGACCACAUUAUGGAACUCGAUAAUACAACACUGUACGAUGUACUUGAGAUUCCAAUGGAUACCUGUCGAAGCGAUGUGGUCAUCAGCAUGUAUCCUCUCAAUCUCCUG
Long non-coding RNA from Triticum urartu, 1216 nucleotides. RefSeq lists it as uncharacterized. Lineage: Eukaryota; Viridiplantae; Streptophyta; Magnoliopsida; Poales; Poaceae. The record is from RefSeq and is a predicted model, not a curated record.